Molecule: long non-coding RNA, 1407 nt
Filed under: Chinchilla lanigera (long-tailed chinchilla)
Lineage: Eukaryota; Metazoa; Chordata; Mammalia; Rodentia; Chinchillidae
Description: lncRNA (ENSCLAG00000025147.1)
Source: RNAcentral
CCCGAAGGCCCUAAACCUUGUGAAUUCCUAUAAAUUUCCAUGAAUAAGGUAAUGUGGUUGCCAUAGAAUCCUUUAAAAGAUUAAAACCCUGGAAAGUAAAGCCCUGGGGUGAACAUUUUCUGACUGUUGUGGGAUUGUCAUCCACUGGCUAAAUAAGCCUUUUUGUUCUGAUUUCCUGGCCUCUGUGAGUGUUUUCUCACUGAUCUGCCAUAAUAGUUUGACAGACCUUUGCUUGCAGUGUUUGAAAAAUAUUCUGUUUCCUCAGAAUUUUGUGGUUUCCAUUAAAAAUCUAAUGUCUUUAGAAUAAUUUUCCCUUAUCUAUGCUCUUGCAUCUAUCUCGCUACUUUUAAGUAUUUCUAUUUUUAGGAGACAAGGAAAAAAAAUAAAACAGACAUUCAUCAAGAGUUAUUUUAAGAAUUAUUUAUACUGCUUUCUUUUUCAUUGAUGGCUAAAACUAGGGCAGAUAUCUCACAAUGGUCACAGCUGCAUUGGACACUCCAUGGCAACUUUGAGAGAUGUUUGCUUUAGCAAUGGCAAGCUUUGUCUGGGGUAUAUCCUGGAUGAUUUGGCCCUGUUGGCUUUCUUAAUGACUCUUCCCCUCUGCUCUUAUUCCUCACAAAGGCCACAAGGAACUCCUUUCCUAGAGUUGAAAGAAAGUCUGUGGUUAGCUGUCAAGAUGUUACACGUGUGUAAGCCCAGAAUUUUCCAUAUGUUGUCAAGGAUUAAGAUCUGAAAUUCUUUGGAGGACUCAUGAAUAUUCAUUAAUAUCACAGUGGGUUAGAAAACCAGGAAAGCUGGAAUCACCAACAGAAUAUAGCAGCAUGGCUUAAAAAAGUGACUGGACCCAUGAGGAAGAACCACAGCCAGAAAUACCAGGCAUUUUAGAAAAGGAGAAGAAAGAUACUAUGGGUUCCUUCUGAAUGUACUCUCCAGUCUUUCAUCAGUAUAUCCCAAAUGUGGGCCCAGCUGUAAGAUAGGUGAUGUCCAAGUCUGGGAACUUGAUCCCGGACAUGUUAGUCCCAUUGAUAUAGAGUAAACCAAAGGAUAUAAAAGUGGAUGAAAGCCCAUGAAGCAUUCAUUGUUAGUACAGUUUUCUGCCUGCUUGAUUUUCAGUUUAAAAAUAUCUCAUUUUGAUACAAAAACAAAAUUAUUGCAGUAAUGGAGAAAUUAUAAUAUCUUUGUGGGAUUCCAUUGACUACAAGAAAAUAUUUUUAAAGCCACAAAAUAAAGUUUCAAAGCCUGGCAUGAUGCAGUAAGUAUGACUGGAACCCCAGCACUCGGGAGGCUGAGGCAGAAGGAUCACCGUGAGUACAAAGCAAACCUGGGUUACAUAGUGAGUUCAAGACCAGCCUGAACUCCAGAGAAAGACCCUAUCUCAAAACAAAACAAAACCAAACAAAAAAACAG